GUACGUCUUCAGGGCGGGGUGCAAUUCCCCACCGGCGGUAUGCCAUGCAAUGUGGCGAGCCCGCGAGCGCCCGGCGUCCAGUACGGACAUCGGGGUCAGCAGAUCUGGUGAGAUGCCAGAGCCGACGGUCAUAGUCCGGAUGAGAGAAGAUGUGC
Molecule: non-coding RNA, 155 nt
Organism: Achromobacter piechaudii ATCC 43553
Lineage: Bacteria; Pseudomonadati; Pseudomonadota; Betaproteobacteria; Burkholderiales; Alcaligenaceae
Source: Rfam